AACGAACGCUGGCGGCAUGCCUAACACAUGCAAGUCGAACGAGACCUUCGGGUCUAGUGGCGCACGGGUGCGUAACGCGUGGGAACCUGCCCUUAGGUUCGGAAUAACUCCCCGAAAGGGGUGCUAAUACCGGAUAAUGUCUUCGGACCAAAGAUUUAUCGCCUUUGGAUGGGCCCGCGUUGGAUUAGCUAGUUGGUAGGGUAAAAGCCUACCAAGGCGACGAUCCAUAACUGGUCUGAGAGGAUGAUCAGCCACACUGGGACUGAGACACGGCCCAGACUCCUACGGGAGGCAGCAGUGGGGAAUAUUGGACAAUGGGCGAAAGCCUGAUCCAGCAAUGCCGCGUGAGUGUUGAAGGCCUUAGGGUUGUAAAGCUCUUUUACCCGGGAUGGUAAUGACAGUACCGGGAGAAUAAGCUCCGGCUAACUCCGUG
This 433-nucleotide ribosomal RNA is filed under the name uncultured bacterium. RNAcentral's name for it is "partial 16S ribosomal RNA". It matches the Rfam family "Bacterial small subunit ribosomal RNA", at positions 29 to 507 of the family's 1533-position model. The record is from RNAcentral.